AUUGAACGCUGGCGGCAGGCCUAACACAUGCAAGUCGAGCGGAUGAAGGGAGCUUGCUCCUGGAUUCAGUGGCGGACGGGUGAGUAAUGCCUAGGAAUCUGCCUGGUAGUGGGGGAUAACGUCCGGAAACGGGCGCUAAUACCGCAUACGUCCUGAGGGAGAAAGUGGGGGAUCUUCGGACCUCACGCUAUCAGAUGAGCCUAGGUCGGAUUAGCUAGUUGGUGGGGUAAAGGCCUACCAAGGCGACGAUCCGUAACUGGUCUGAGGGGAUGAUCAGUCACACUGGAACUGAGACACGGUCCAGACUCCUACGGGAGGCAGCAGUGGGGAAUAUUGGACAAUGGGCGAAAGCCUGAUCCAGCCAUGCCGCGUGUGUGAAGAAGGUCUUCGGAUUGUAAAGCACUUUAAGUUGGGAGGAAGGGCAGUAAGUUAAUACCUUGCUGUUUUGACGUUACCAACAGAAUAAGCACCGGCUAACUUCGUG
RNAcentral lists this ribosomal RNA (484 nucleotides) under uncultured bacterium. RNAcentral describes it as "partial 16S ribosomal RNA". It matches the Rfam family "Bacterial small subunit ribosomal RNA", at positions 30 to 507 of the family's 1533-position model. The record is from RNAcentral.